UAGCGGAGGAAAAGAAACUAACAAGGAUUCCCCUAGUAACGGCGAGUGAAGCGGGAAGAGCUCAAAUUUGAAAUCUGGUGGCCUCAGGUCAUCCGAGUUGUAAUCUAUAGAAGUGUUUUCCGUGCUGGCUCAUGUACAAGUCCCUUGGAACAGGGCGUCAUAGAGGGUGAGAAUCCCGUCCUUGACAUGAACUACCAGUGCUCUGUGAUACAUUUUCAACGAGUCGAGUUGUUUGGGAAUGCAGCUCAAAAUGGGUGGUAAAUUCCAUCUAAAGCUAAAUAUUGGCGAGAGACCGAUAGCGAACAAGUACCGUGAGGGAAAGAUGAAAAGCACUUUGGAAAGAGAGUUAAACAGUAUGUGAAAUUGUUGAAAGGGAAACGAUUGAAGUCAGUCGUGCUCUUUGGAUUCAGCCGGUUCUGCCGGUGUACUUCCUUUGAGUGGGGUCAACAUCAGUUUUGAUCGCUGGAUAAAGGCUGGAGGAACGUAGUACCCUCGGGUAAACUUAUAGCCUCCUGUCACAUACAGUGGUUGGGACUGAGGAACGCAGCACGCCUUUAUGGCCGGGAUUCGUCCACGUACGUGC
RNAcentral lists this ribosomal RNA (583 nucleotides) under Filobasidium magnum. RNAcentral describes it as "partial large subunit ribosomal RNA". It matches the Rfam family "Eukaryotic large subunit ribosomal RNA", at positions 48 to 618 of the family's 3401-position model. The record is from RNAcentral. Lineage: Eukaryota; Fungi; Basidiomycota; Tremellomycetes; Filobasidiales; Filobasidiaceae.